UGAUAGUUUUUGGUGUUGGGCAGA
Molecule: non-coding RNA, 24 nt
Filed under: Mus musculus (house mouse)
Lineage: Eukaryota; Metazoa; Chordata; Mammalia; Rodentia; Muridae
Also listed under: 1 other name
Source: RNAcentral